GACGAACGCUGGCGGCGUGCCUAAUACAUGCAAGUAGAACACUGAAGGAGGAGCUUACUUCUCUGGAUGAGUUGCGAACGGGUGAGUAACGCGUAGGUAACCUGCCUGGUAGCGGGGGAUAACUAUUGGAAACGAUAGCUAAUACCGCAUAAGAGUAGAUGUUGCAUGACAUUUACUUAAAAGGUGCAAUUGCACCACUACCAGAUGGACCUGCGUUGUAUUAGCUAGUUGGUGGGGUAACGGCUUACCAAGGCGACGAUACAUAGCCGACCUGAGAGGGUGAUCGGGCACACGAGGACUGAGACACGGCCCAGACUCCUACUGGAGGCAGCAGUAGGGAAUCUUCGGCAAUGGACGGAAGUCUGACCGAGCAACGCCGCGUGAGUGAAGAAGGUUUUCGGAUCGUAAAGCUCUGUUGUAAGAGAAGAACGAGUGUGAGAGUGGAAAGUUCACACUGUGACGGUAUCUUACCAGAAAGGGACGGCUAACUACGUGCCAGCCGCCGCGGUAA
RNAcentral lists this ribosomal RNA (511 nucleotides) under uncultured bacterium. Its description in RNAcentral is "partial 16S ribosomal RNA". It matches the Rfam family "Bacterial small subunit ribosomal RNA", at positions 28 to 523 of the family's 1533-position model. The record is from RNAcentral.